This is a long non-coding RNA of Cucurbita moschata (crookneck pumpkin), 807 nucleotides long. RefSeq lists it as uncharacterized. The transcript has 3 exons. NCBI's taxonomy places the organism in Eukaryota, Viridiplantae, Streptophyta, Magnoliopsida, Cucurbitales, Cucurbitaceae. The record is from RefSeq and is a predicted model, not a curated record.
AGUAAGAAUACUAGUUGUUAUGAGGCAUUUUGGGGGGAAAGAAAAAGCAAAGCUAUGAAGCUUAUGCUCAAAGUGGACGAUAUCAUACUUCUGGAGGAUCGUAGUUCUUAAUAGAGGAUUGGGCUUAUCUUGAGUUUUGAUCCACAUAUAUUUGACUGCAAUUAAGCACACUCUUCAAUCUCUAUGGGUGCUUGAUGUUGCUGGAUCUUUGUUAACUUACACAAAUCUUGCACAACCAGCUGGGGACAGCAUAGUGCAGUAUGUUGUUGAUAAUCCAUCGGCAGUCUGGUUUAUUGGUCCUCUCUUUGCAGCACGGACUGGACUAGUCUUCAAAGAAGUCUUGAUGAAGCAGGCAAAUAAUAAGAAGAAAGAAGAUACUGAUGAAGCAGGCAAAUAAUACGAAGAGAAGGCCUUGAUUCGAAAGCUUGAGCAGCAAGAGCUUAGUAAGAAUGGUGAUUAGAACAUUUGGAUGAGAACCAUCAGGAAGAACAGUGUCAAAGGAGUCUUACUGUACAGGACGAAUAAAUGCCACUCUGAUAAGCAAAUGGCUCAAUUGAGACAUGCAAUCGUAAUUAGGAGAAAACAAGACUAUACUCGAAACUCUACAAGCAAUCCUAUUAGUAAAUUUCUCCCCUUUGUCAUCUCAUCUAAACCAUUCAAAUCUAGUAAUCUGCCUAAUCGAAUUGGGAGAAGGAUCACAGUCUCUCUCCCUCCAUAGAUGUUAAGUUCGUGAUGAGAUGUUUUGGUAUUAGAAUGGUCAAGUCGGAACACAAAUGAGGAGAGAAACCCUUUGUUUGAACAAACAUC